Molecule: ribosomal RNA, 318 nt
Filed under: Triticum aestivum (bread wheat)
Lineage: Eukaryota; Viridiplantae; Streptophyta; Magnoliopsida; Poales; Poaceae
Description: partial small subunit ribosomal RNA
Source: RNAcentral
AUGUUCCCUCUUGUGAGCAUGCUGAAUUCCAACAUCGCAUACUUUUUGGUCUCAGAGUCCGCCGAAGAAGAAAAUAGCAAGGUUUCUCUGGUCACAAUUCAGUUAAGUACCAAGAAGGUGCUCGUAGUUGGUCCAUAUAUUUCAAGAGAAGAAGGCAGCCCCAGUGGCCCAGAUGCUGACAUGAUCGAGGAAAAGUCUCAUCUUCUAAGGAGUUUCAUUUCCUCCAGGUUCCCCACGUACUUAAAACAGACACUGGCUGGCGUAAUGAGGUUAGUGACUAGACUUAGGAAGGAAAUGCUGGAGGAAGAAGAUUUGUAG